RNAcentral lists this non-coding RNA (45 nucleotides) under Schistosoma haematobium. The record is from RNAcentral. Lineage: Eukaryota; Metazoa; Platyhelminthes; Trematoda; Strigeidida; Schistosomatidae.
AUCCAGCUGACGAGUUCCAAAUAGGACGAAACGCUAAUUAUGGAU